CGAACGGAAAGGCCCUGCUUGCAGGGUACUCGAGUGGCGAACGGGUGAGUAACACGUGGGUGAUCUGCCCUGCACUUCGGGAUAAGCCUGGGAAACUGGGUCUAAUACCGGAUAGGAGCCAUUUUUAGUGUGAUGGUUGGAAAGUUUUUUCGGUGUAUGAUGAGCUCGCGGCCUAUCAGCUUGUUGGUGGGGUAAUGGCCUACCAAGGCGGCGACGGGUAGCCGGCCUGAGAGGAUGGACGGCCACAUUGGGACUGAGAUACGGCCCAGACUCCUACGGGAGGCAGCAGUGGGGAAUAUUGCACAAUGGGCGCAAGCCUGAUGCAGCGGCGCCGCGUGGGGGAUGACGGCCUUCGGGUUGUAAACUCCUUUCGCUAGGGACGAAGCUUUUUGUGACGGUACCUAGAUAAGAAGCACCGGCUAACUACGUGCCAGCAGCCGCGGUAAUACGUAGGGUGCGAGCGUUGUCCGGAAUUACUGGGCGUAAAGGGCUCGUAGGUGGUUUGUCGCGUCGUCUGUGAAAUUCCGGGGCUUAACUCCGGGCGUGCAGGCGAUACGGGCAUAACUUGAGUACUGUAGGGGUAACUGGAAUUCCUGGUGUAGCGGUGAAAUGCGCAGAUAUCAGGAGGAACACCGAUGGCGAAGGCAGGUUACUGGGCAGUUACUGACGCUGAGGAGCG
RNAcentral lists this ribosomal RNA (679 nucleotides) under uncultured Actinomycetales bacterium. RNAcentral's name for it is "bacterial SSU rRNA". It matches the Rfam family "Bacterial small subunit ribosomal RNA", at positions 63 to 755 of the family's 1533-position model. The record is from RNAcentral. Lineage: Bacteria; Bacillati; Actinomycetota; Actinomycetes; Actinomycetales.